RNA transcript from Octopus sinensis (East Asian common octopus), 2076 nucleotides. RefSeq lists it as uncharacterized. NCBI's taxonomy places the organism in Eukaryota, Metazoa, Mollusca, Cephalopoda, Octopoda, Octopodidae. The transcript has 2 exons. The record is from RefSeq and is a predicted model, not a curated record.
AAACUUGAAGACUGUUCAGUACAUUUUCAGAGGAGUGCAACAAAUGUAAGGAGGUCAAUGUGCUGGAAAAAUGCUAAAGCUACUUUAAUUCUUGGAUUUGUGAUACUUUUGUUGCUUGGAAUCAUAGUUGGAGUCAUUGUAGGAUUAGUCUAUAACGAUGACAACAAAACUCAUUCAACAACUCCAGUCCCACACAUAACUACAUAUGUUCUGUCAAAUGUUUCUUAAACUACAAGAAAAAUACUUACUGUAUCCUCCCCAACUACCAUGGCAAGUCUCUUUCUCUAAUUAACAAUAUAUGAAAGGAGAAAAGUAAAAGACCAACCUACAUUCCCUAUUCCAUUUAAUUUGUGGAAAUAGAAAAAUAUUUUCUGAAGUGUUCACAAACUUCCAGUAAUUUCUGUUCUUUAAAAACAAAUGAUUGCAUAUGCUUUUCAUUGUGAUGUAAUCAAGAUUACCUGUUUGGAUAGACUUUGUCUACUAUAAACUAUCUGCCUUAUGUUGAACUUAAUUAAAAAAUGUAAUUAUUUUAUCAAUUGAUUUUUAAAUUUUUUUAAUAUAAUUUUUUUUUUACUUGUUUUGGAUUUUCUUUCUAUACCAAUAUUUUAUUUUAUUUGCAAUUGGAGAAUUAUAUUUUUUAUACAAUCCUAAAAAAAAGAUAAUAUCAUUUAAGUAAAUCACACACAAUUUUUUCUGUUUUUGGUUCAUUUAACCAGCUUAAUUUGAUGUUAUCACUAUCAAUAUACAUGGAUGUUUGCAUGUGUGAAUGCUACAUAUAGGUAUUUACAUGUGUAAAUGCUACAUGUAGGUGUAUAUAUCUGUAAAUGCUCAGUUAUUUUCAAAUGUUGUCUUUGUAUAUUUGUAUUUUUACUUAGUGAAAAUCUAAUACAUUUGUGGAACUUUUUAUCUGGCUUUUCAACAUGUGAAAUGCUCCAAAAGUAAGAUAUGUUUAUUGAGUAAGAAGUGAGGAAAAUGUUGUUGUUUUGGCUUGAGUUUCAGUUGUGGGAGAGAAUUUCAGUUAUGAAUGGGUAAAGAUUAAGAAAAUAUGUCCAGUGCAAGGUUUGAGACAAAAUAGUGGUGUUGAUAGAUGCUGGUAUGUAAGGUGGAUUUGGUGGAAGUGUUAUGUUUGUUAGCAGAAUAGAAAUUGUUAUGGCAGAAAUAUAGAACAUUUGUGGCUGUCAUAUGUUGAGUUUUUACAUUUAACUGUCCCCGGCGGGAGACAUAUUGAGACCCUGAGGCACAGAAGAGUUUGUUGAAUAUUGGUCAAAGAUCUGUGUUAAUGCUUCCUACGACAGAACUGUGUGAUCUGACAAUAUAACUUCCAGUCCAAGAUUAUGAGAUACACAUUCUGCAGCCUGGCAACUUAGCUAUGAAGUUCUCAGACUGAGGCACAGUCAAAGAUUUGUUGCCAAGGAUAAAAUUUUGGUCAAAGUUCUCAAGGAACAAUGAGGUAGAUGAACGAGCCUCAAUGGAUCUGGUUGUUAGUGAGAAAGGAAGAGAUUCAUAGUGAUAAAAGCAAGUUUAUAACUUUCUGUCAACUUUGUGAUUUUCAAGUGUAUUAUUUAAAAUACAUUAUCUUUCUGACUUGAUAUUUGCUUAUUGCAAAGUCAUGUAUUGUCUUUGUUUUCAAACCAGUUAAAAUGUUUUCAACCAAAUGUAUUUACCCAGUUAUUUAUACUCAGUUUCCAAUCCAUGUAACCUAAAAGGCCAUCAGAAACAGACAUGACAGACAAAUGGUUUCAUGCACAUCUUUUGUAAUAUAUAUGUGUUGUCUCUUGAAAAACCAAUUAGACUUUUGUUUGUUGUUUUUCUUUUUAACUUACACAGCUUAAUAAAUAAACUCAUUUAUACAUAAACCUUCAUUACAUUGUACAAGAUCAAACAAAUCUCAUGUGAUAUUUAGCUUGAUAUUUUUAUGAUUAUUGAAUUUAUCUUCCAAUUCAUUGUUUAAUCAUGGACUAUGAACUGGUUAUUCCUGACAGUAACCUUUUUUUUCUUUUCCUUUCCUCCAUUAACAGAGACUUGAUGAUGUUAAAAUAACAUUGUAUUUUCAUAGUAAAUUUUCUGUGAAACUUG